This 496-nucleotide ribosomal RNA is filed under the name uncultured bacterium. RNAcentral's name for it is "partial 16S ribosomal RNA". It matches the Rfam family "Bacterial small subunit ribosomal RNA", at positions 29 to 507 of the family's 1533-position model. The record is from RNAcentral.
AUGCACGCUGGCGGCGUGCCUCAUCCAUGCAAGUCGCGCGAACAGACGAGGAGCUUGCUCCUCUGGCGUUAGCGGCGGACGGGUGAGUAACACGUGGAUAACCUACCUAUAAGACUGGGAUAACUUCGGGAAACCGGAGCUAAUACCGGAUAAUAUAUUGAACCGCAUGGUUCAAUAGUGAAAGACGGUUUUGCUGUCACUUAUAGAUGGAUCCGCGCCGCAUUAGCUAGUUGGUAAGGUAACGGCUUACCAAGGCGACGAUGCGUAGCCGACCUGAGAGGGUGAUCGGCCACACUGGAACUGAGACACGGUCCAGACUCCUACGGGAGGCAGCAGUAGGGAAUCUUCCGCAAUGGGCGAAAGCCUGACGGAGCAACGCCGCGUGAGUGAUGAAGGUCUUCGGAUCGUAAAACUCUGUUAUUAGGGAAGAACAAAUGUGUAAGUAACUAUGCACGUCUUGACGGUACCUAAUCAGAAAGCCACGGCUAACUACGUG